This 1338-nucleotide long non-coding RNA is filed under the name Olea europaea subsp. europaea. Lineage: Eukaryota; Viridiplantae; Streptophyta; Magnoliopsida; Lamiales; Oleaceae. The record is from RNAcentral.
AACAAAUAAAGUAGAAUUUUGGUAUAAACCAGCCGAUUUAGGAGAAAUGGAUUGCUUGCUGGUUCUUGAUGCGUUCAAAAAAAAAAAAAAAAUGAAAUUUGACUUGUAAUUGUGUGGUUGAACCGACCAAUCAAUUCAAUUUAAAAAUAAUGAGUUUCAGCUUGUUCUUUCUUCCUUAAUCCCUUUAGUGUUAUUCAAUAUAAUUUACCAAUCAAUUCCUAAACACACUAGAUAUGAUAAGCUAAGGGCACCUAAAGGUAACCGUCCGGAUAUUGAUUGGCCUUGGUUUGACAUGAUUUACGUGUUACUGGUUCCCAGAAGAGUUAAUAUCUGUAUUAGUUAAAUUGGAAGUGUUCGAGUUAUUGGCUCGUUCAACCCGACAGUAUUCAUGGCAAUUUGAUCAACUUUGUUAAUUGCUUUAUUUUCAUCCUAGUCUUAUCUAGUGGUAAUAUAACAAAAAAUGCAAAGGAGCAUAAAAGAAUUUGAUAAAACUAUUGGCUCAAAACCUCAAGUGCAAAAGCAAAAAUGUAAACAAAAGACAGAUGGUCACUUGCUAUUAGCCACGUGGUGUACAUGAAAGUUACAUUCCUAAGAACUGUAGCCUCAAGAUGCAAAAGCCAGUACGUAUCUAAUCACUUUUGUCCACUAAUUGUUUUGCCUAAAAAAAAAAAGUCUCCACCUUCCCAUCUCACCAUAUAAUAAAGAAAUCUCCACCACCGUGGCCGUUGCCACUCAACCACUACCAUUGGCGGAGGUUGGCCAACGGGAUGCCUUAACUGGAUGUCUCGAUCAAAGUCAUUUGCAAGGUUAAUGAAUUUGCAAAACUAAUGCAUAUAAAGUUGUAAGUACGAUUUGUAACUUUGAUAAAUCAAAUCGAACUCAUCUAAUAAGCUGUGUUCAACUUCACAGAUCCAUAAAUGAUCAACCACUUUACUGUUGGACCACAUAUAUCAUGUUCGGCUAAUCUAAAGUGUCAUAAAACUAGGAACAUUAAUGUAUGCUACCUAAACUUUUACUUCAUUAACCAAAAAGAUCUAUGGUUUGUUGCGCCUUUAAUGAGUUAAAAUUUAACAUCUACUUUUCACAGAAAAGACCUCAUUAACUAGAGUCAAUUUCCCUGCCAUAUAUUCUUGAAACACAAAUAAUAAUACUUUAAUCACAUACUUCCCAUCGGAUAUGUUCAAUACGUUGAAUUCAAAUUACUAUCAGUCUUAUCCAGAUCAAUUCAGACAUAUACGGAGCAUUGAAUUAAUUGUUCCAAUAUCACUAAACUUAGGUUAAUGUUUUUAUUGGUAAUUAAAAUUUAAAAUGUCGAGUUUUGAUUACUAAAAUUAGGCC